UAUAAUUCUAUCUUUCAGAAAACAGAAAGCUGAUGCUCCCAAGAAAUUCAUUCAUUUAGCUUUAUGUUUGAAAUCAAUGACAUAAGCAGCUAAUUCAUAUUCAUGUGAAGGUUGAUACAAAAUCAGUCACAAAGGAAUCUGCAGAGGGCAGAGUUGUUAAAAAGAAAUAUUACCUAUGUAGCUUUUAGUUUUUAAAAAAAUCAGUGUGAUAAAACACUGAUAAUAGAACUUAUAUAUUAAUUUAGUGAUUCAUUGUAGGAAUUCCCAUCUCAUCAUCAUCUGUGGGCUCGUGUAGUGACUAUUGUAUGUUUGGUUUAUUCCUACCAACAUUUAAUGAGAAAACAAUUCUACAGUUUUGGUCACAAUAGUAAGGUGUCACUUGGCCACACACACACACACACACACAAAAGUGCAAACUGCAAUAAGGUUCAUUGGGGAAAGUGAGAUUAAUUUGCAAAUAUAUGAGAAAGAAGUAUAAGCAUUUGUAACAAUGCAAAGGUCUCAGUAUCUGUGUGACAAGGUAAAGGAGUCUUGGGAUGUGCAUUGAUUAUUAUUUGCUUAAAAAAUGUUUAUUUCCCUGACAACUCACCUGGGUCCUUCUCUACAAUCUGUUCUUUAUUCCCGUUCUCUCCCCUCGGAUAUGUGUCACAUUUUCACAAACCAGAAGUGAAGCUGCAAGGACACAUAAAACUUUAAGGUUAAGUUUGUAUCAUUAGUCCCAGAAGAAAGCCUAUUGAAAUUCAAAGGAUAGCAUCAGCAUUAUACAAAUGAAAUGACUGACUGGAACCAAGAGAAUACACAGACAUGGAAGAGGAAAACCCCUUCUCCUGUCUCUGAUUUGAACUUGCUUUCUCAUUAAUCUCAUUAUUGACAUAGCUGACUAAUACAGGUGAAAUAUUAUUAAAUAUGUUAGAAAUCCCAUCUACAGACAGACACAUAUUCCCUGUUGCUGAAAAACUUUUCUAGCAGUACAUACAAUUUUUACCAAAAGAUGGUGAUGCAACUAGAAUCCCUAAAAGGAGAAGUUUGUCAAUGGAAGCAGAGGCUAUGCCUUGUCUUAUCAUAAAUCCUUUGCACUUUAUUGUUCUGAACAAAGAAAGUAACCAAUAAUCAAAGUUUGAUUAUCCUUAAUAAUAGAGCUUAAUCUUGUGUUCAAAGAUACCUUGGGUCUAUAAAAAGGAAUAAAAUAACGAAGCCCUUGAAAUUCCAGACAAAAUUGUUAAUGUGUGUAAAACUGUGUUCAUCUAAAUGUGAGUCUCAAAAUGUCGAUCACCUAAAAAGCUAUUGAUGUUUGGAUUUAGAAGAUAUUCUCAGAAACUGAUAUUCAGAUAAACCCACAUGUCUUGCAGGCAUUGUUUUAUAUACCACUCUCUACCUUCAUUCACAAAAACCCAGGAGAUGAUUAUUGUUCUACUAGAGACAAGUUUCCUUCCAAAAUAGCCUGAUGUUUUGGGAGACUUAGCCUAUAGUAAACAAAAAAUUUGUAUGAUGACAAAUAAUUCAUGUUCAGAUAAAAACAAUUGGCUAUCAUUGUUGUGAUAAUCUUACUCAUGUCUUUACCCAUUCUAAAAAUAGUUUGGGGUGAAUGUGAAAUUAUAUAAUUUGGCAAUGAUGACUUAUUUCAGUAAAUUUCUUCCUGAUUUGUGUUUAUUUUUACUACAAUAUAACUAAGAGUUCAACCAGUACAGUAAAAGAAAAAACAACCAUUUGACAAGUUUUUCUAAAAAAAAAAAAAAAAAGAAAAACUCACCAAGUUGUUUUAUGCAAAGAUUUAGAAGUGCUUAUAUAUUUCAUUUUCAGCAAUUAUGGUUUUGCCAGUUUCAUGACUUAUGAUGUGACUUUGGAGCAAUGUGAAAUAUUUUGAGAAUAAAGUUAGGUAGUGAUUAUUUAAAGUUUUACCUUUUACUUGCAAUUGGUAGCAAGGUGAAAUUUUAUUCUAUGUUAAUAAAUUGAUAUACUGUCACAAGGAGCUGUUAGAUAUAAUUAAAUUUAAGGAAGCAAGAGAAAAAUAUGAUGAUGAUGAUGAUGAUGAUGAGUUAAUCCUAAUCCUAAUCAAAUGUGCCUUGUCAUCAUGAAAUUUCUGUCACAUCCAUAGAAAAUGCCCAGACUAAAAAUAAUGGAGCUCAAUUCCAAUAUUCUAAUAUCAUUUCUUCCUUCCAUGCUCUGAACGUGUGUGUGUGUGUGUGUGUGUGUGUGUGUGUGUAUUUCUCUUGCGCAUUGGUAAAUUUUUUCUCUAAAUAGCCUCUGAGUCCACUGACAAACUCAUGUUUCUGAAUUCUUCAUCACAGUAAGUAAAGUACUAUUGUUUUUUCUACGAUUUAUUAUCUUCAUUGAUGCAUCCCCAUGUUACAUAAGCCUGAAGCGUAUUCUCUUUUUAACAAAGGGAAACAUUCUUAAAAAAUUAUCACACUAUGUUCUCUCCACUACUAAAUGAAUAGAAUCCGAAAAACUGCACAUGAACUUGAGAGUAUUACAUGUAAUAUUGUUGUGUAAAUUUUAACCUUCAUAAUCCAGAUAACAUUGUUUCAAAGGGCAUGCUGUGUCAUUAAAAAAAGACUUAAUGUGAAAUGACAUUAUUACAUAGUGCAUGAAUAUGUGGCAAAGUAAUUUGGAUCUAUCCUUACUAGUCAAUGAGAGAUUAAAUUUGGGGAGAUCAGAUGUGACUGUUUAGGCUAAUUCUCAACUGGGAUGAAGAUAUCUUAAUGUUAAGAUACAUGGGUGGUUGUCCAUAUUCCUUGCAGUAUAUGCUCCUCUUAACUAGAAUCCUUAGUGUAUUCUUUCCACCAAAGUAGUGGAGGUAUGUUCACAUAAUCUGCUAUUGAAGUGCAAAAACUUUUACACUUUCAGAGUUUGAAAGAACCCAAAUAGGAAAAUUGAUGGAAUCAUUUUCCUCUGCUGGUGUUCAAGUCAUAUUUGAAACUCAGACACUCUCAGAUCUGUUCAACAGUCAGUAAAAAGUGCAUUUUUACAUAGUGUUUCCCUUUAGUUUUGCCUACCCUCUUGAUUUUGUACAAUCUAGAAUGUAUGUAACUCAUGCGUAGGUGAUGGAGGCGCUUCUUUUUUUCUUAGAAUACUUAACAAUUAUAUAUUUGGUUUUGCUUUGACUAGCAAUAGGAAAAUAGAUAAAUACAAGUGUAAAAAUGAGAAAUUUUAAACUCAAAAUUAAUUUGUGUUUUAUAGUCGUUUCAUAAGUCUGUUGCUCUCUAUGAGUAUGCUCUCUAUAUAUCCUGUAAAAAUAAAUUUAUAUGUUACAUAGAAAUUCAAGAAAUUAAAUUAUUUAUUAAGCUACAAAUGUUUCUUCUGGUUUCUACCUGAUCAUAGAUGAAAAUAAAUUAAAAUGUGUUGUUGGAACAUAUGUAAGUAUGUUUGUUAAUUUGAUAACUCUUGUUAUACUUUUCCUUCCCUCUCUGUUUGUGUCUGUAUAAACUUAUAAUUCUUAGGCCUAAUUCCUAUUGUGAUUGCGAAAAAAAGAGUCUUAAGAAUGCCCAGUUGGCUGGAAAAAAAGAAAAUC
Molecule: long non-coding RNA, 3511 nt
Organism: Sapajus apella (tufted capuchin)
Lineage: Eukaryota; Metazoa; Chordata; Mammalia; Primates; Cebidae
Exons: 2
Source: RefSeq, a predicted model, not a curated record